GAUAAACGCUGGCGGCGUGCCUAAUGCAUGCAAGUCGAACGGGGGAUAGGGCUUCGGCCCUAUUCUUAGUGGCGGACGGGUGAGUAACGCGUAAGUAAUCUAUCCUCGAGUGGGGGAUAACCCCGAGAAAUCGGGGCUAAUACCGCAUAAAGUGGGGAUCCUCACCAAAGCCUUCGGGUGCUUGAGGCGGAGCUUGCGUCCGAUUAGCUAGUUGGCAGGGUAAAGGCCUACCAAGGCUGAGAUCGGUAGCUGGUUUGAGAGGAUGAUCAGCCACACUGGGACUGAGACACGGCCCAGACUCCUACGGGAGGCAGCAGCAGGGGAUAUUGCGCAAUGGGCGAAAGCCUGACGCAGCAACGCCGCGUGGGGGAAGAAGGUCUUCGGGUUGUAAACCCCUUUUCUGGGGGAAGAAAAAUGACGGUACCCCAGGAAUAAGUCUCGGCUAACUACGUG
RNAcentral lists this ribosomal RNA (453 nucleotides) under uncultured bacterium. RNAcentral describes it as "bacterial SSU rRNA". It matches the Rfam family "Bacterial small subunit ribosomal RNA", at positions 28 to 507 of the family's 1533-position model. The record is from RNAcentral.